CCACUUCCUUCUGGGCUCCAUGGUUUCUGAUGAGAAAUCUGCUGUUGUUCAAAUUGUUUUUCUUUUAAAGGCUUUCGCUGACACUGUAUGGGCUAAGACAAGGCAGAACUCUGUCCCACUGGAUGGUGGUGAAAAUUGUGGCUACCACCCACCUUCCUCUGACACUAGGGAUCUCUCUUUUCCUGGGAGGAGAGGGCAUCAACUACUGGCAAUGAGCCCUGCCCCACGGUCAGCCACACGGUCCUGCCCACUGCCCAGGAGGCACGCAGACCAGGCACCUCGCCCAUCAGAUGACGGGGGCAUGCUGGGCGAGAGCAACUCCAAGGCUGGAGCAGACGGAGACAUUUACUAACACAGAUAAGUUUUUAUUGAAUUAAGAGGGAGCACUUACAAGGAAGCCUCUAGAGAGUAAAAGCAUUAAGUCAUUUUGAAACAUUUUUCUCCUGUCAAGAGAGCAAAUGAAACACCAGCGUGGCCAUCUGAUUCUGCUUCACUCACGUGUGCAGAAUGGCGGCCCCGCAAGUGAGGGAAGGCGCUCACAGGCAGUUCCCACAACAAGACUCUACUGAUAGGAGUCAGAAGUGACCUGUCUACAGGACAUUUCCAUGACCAGAAGAUCCAGAGAAUACACUACCCUGAUAGCAAAUGAAGGCGACAUGUAAGGUACCAUGAUCUUUUUUAUUAUUAAAAAUACGGUUUUUUAAGAA
Long non-coding RNA from Diceros bicornis minor, 707 nucleotides. RefSeq lists it as uncharacterized. The record is from RefSeq and is a predicted model, not a curated record. NCBI's taxonomy places the organism in Eukaryota, Metazoa, Chordata, Mammalia, Perissodactyla, Rhinocerotidae. The transcript is spliced from 3 exons.